CAUCGUGAGGUGGAAUCUGAAGGAAGCCGGAUAUGGGGAACCUACUAACCCAUGGGCAAAACUCCGGUCUGACGGACAGAAACCACAUAGGAGGCCAUGCAUGGGGGUAAGACUGCCGUACAAGUCAAAGCCCGGUAGCUACACGGAACCAUGUAUGGUAAAUGUGGCAGAUAGAUGGAGUGAAAGAAUGU
This 191-nucleotide non-coding RNA is filed under the name uncultured Emergencia sp. Lineage: Bacteria; Bacillati; Bacillota; Clostridia; Peptostreptococcales; Anaerovoracaceae. The record is from RNAcentral.